AAGAGGAGGAAGGAGAGAGGACUGGAGGUUGGCGGUGUGUUGUGAGAGCUGAAAGACCAGAGAACCGAAGCAUUCAAAUACCUUGUCCAAUGUCCACCAUAAAGUGCUAAUAAGGUGCAACAGAAUAAUCUGCAGAUGAAGGAGGCGUCAAAAGGCACUGGUUUGUGUAGAGAGAGGAAGAGGAGACAUCGGGGAGGAAGAAAUACUG
Molecule: long non-coding RNA, 208 nt
Organism: Chelonia mydas (Green sea turtle)
Lineage: Eukaryota; Metazoa; Chordata; Testudines; Cheloniidae
Exons: 3
Source: RefSeq, a predicted model, not a curated record